This is a long non-coding RNA of Oryzias melastigma (Indian medaka), 618 nucleotides long. RefSeq lists it as uncharacterized. NCBI's taxonomy places the organism in Eukaryota, Metazoa, Chordata, Actinopteri, Beloniformes, Adrianichthyidae. The record is from RefSeq and is a predicted model, not a curated record. The transcript is spliced from 4 exons.
UGUUGACACUCGCCGAACCGCCCACACUACGACCUGAAACGACUCGUGCCGACGCCACCGCCAGAGGUGACCUUUUGUUGAAGUGUUGGGAGACAGGAGAGCCUGGAUUUGAUGGAUUUCAGGUGAAACGCCUCACCACAGCUUCCUCCCUCAGACCUGAUCUGGACUCCUACUCCAUCCUGACCAGCAGGAGGUCGAGGAGUCGACUAAGAGGAGAACAGACCAACCUCAUGUCCAGCCCGUUCAGGAAGAGGAUGCGGUCGCCUGACUUCAGCCCACACUCCUCCGCUGGACUGUCUGGGAGGAGAACGAGGAGAAUCGCACGUCAGGCCCAGAUUGGAAAUGGACCCUGGCAGCAGCCGUCCAGAUAACAACGGGCAGAACGAGAAACCACCAACCUGCACGACGAGGAGGAAGAGGAGGAGGAAGAGGAGGCGGCGGCUUUACCUGGGAUGACGGCGUCGAUGCAGACGGGGGCGUGGCCUCGCAGCGUGAAGCCGAAGCUCUUCUUCCCACGGUAGACGCGGAUGACCCUGAGGGUGGAGACAGAAGCUGAAGCUCAACCUAUUCUAAUUAAAGUUCAAUAUUAUGGGAUGUUCUCUCAAAUACCAAUUUAUA